This 5466-nucleotide long non-coding RNA is filed under the name Sus scrofa (pig). RNAcentral describes it as "lncRNA (ENSSSCG00000057603.1)". The record is from RNAcentral. Lineage: Eukaryota; Metazoa; Chordata; Mammalia; Artiodactyla; Suidae.
GCUGCACUUGCAGCAUAUGGAAGUUCCCAGUCUAAGGCUCGAAUUAGAGCUGCAGCUGCAGGCCUGUGCCACAGCCACGGCAACACUGGAUCCAAGCUGCAUCUGUGACCUACACCACAGCUAGAGGCAAUGCCAGAUCCUUAACCCACUGAGCAAGGCCAGGAAUUGAACCCGCAUCCUCAUGUACACUAUGUUGUAUUCUUAACCCACUGAGCCACAACAGGAACUCCUAAAUAUAAUCCAGGUCACUUGAUUGCACUAGUUAAGAUUCUUUGUUAUAACAACAGAAAUAAACUUGUAUUAAGCAGACGAGGACAUUCUAUUGAAGGACACUGGGCAGGGCCCGGAAAUGACAGGAAGUCUAAAGAGCCAGGCGUGGGGCAGGGAUAGGAAUGCAGGGAGGCUGGGCAACCAGGACCUGGUCAAGGUUACACCCUGGAGCAGGUUGCUGGGCACUGUUGCCACCAGUGUCUCAGUCUGGGCUCCUGGUGGUGCUCUGUGCUGCCAGUUCUUCCAGAGUCAGUCUUCCCUGCUUUGCUUCUGUUAUCAUCAGAUAAAAAUUUACAAGUGAGGGCAUUCAGAUGGGCUGGAGUCACACAAGUUGUCACCAGUGUGUAGGGAUAGGGAAGGACUUGAAGGAAUCCCUCAAACACUGGAAAUGGCAGCCAAGAAGGUAAACAUCCACACACGGCCAAGGGAUAAGGCCGUGCUUCCAUUUUAUUAAAAACCCCCAAUUAAAAUCCCAAGUAUUUAGGAUACAAGUCCUCAUCCUGCUUGUUAUGCAUUUUGCUGGAAUCCGCAAUUCACCCACCCCUACAAAUCCUCAGAGCACGAUGUGUUCAGGCCCCUCAGAUCCUCUGGAUGGUUCCUCGCCUUCUUUCGUCCAUUGUCUGGCUCUGCGUCUUUGUUUCUUUCUUCCAAAGGGCAUCCUUCUCACAGCAAGGUUGAGAGACGGUUGUGAAAUUAAAGAGAUUUAAUUAAAGAGAAUAAUCAAAAACACAUCAAAAGUGAUUGUAACUGAGAAAAAUCCAAAUGGAUACCACAGACCUGGCAGCUGUUUGAAGGAAGCCCGGUCCAUGAGCCACCACCUAGGACUCCGUCAUCCCCUCCACACUGCCGCUCUGUUGCCGAUGCUAUUCGCUCUGCCCUUGGGCUUGUUUCUCUUUCUUUCCUAAAAGGAAAAUAAUCUGUGAGAUCAAAGUUGGUCAACAGAAAAUAAUAAGCUAGUGUAUAUAUAGUGAACAUCACCUUCCAGAUUCUGUUCUAAAAUUCUUACAUAUCAACCCACAGAACCCUCAGGCUGACCCAUGAAGAGGACUGUUAUCCAGUUUUAUGGAUGAGAACGCUGAGGCGCAAAGAUAUUAGUAAGAUGUGGAGAAGGCACCUAGCUAGUAGAGGGAAGAAGCUAGGAUUUGAACCUAGGCAAUAGUAACUCCAUGACCUGCGUGUACCACCGCUCAGUGAUGCCUUAUCAAGAUGGUUUCCUGUAAAAAUACUGAUCAGAAUAACCAGCUCAGCUGUGUAGGAGCCCUGGUCCGUCACCUCUGUUCCACAGUGUGAUCUUUGCUUUAUCUUUGCAUGAACAACAAAAAAAAAGUCAUUGAAAGGAUUUUCUCCUAUCAUAAGAGUAGUUUGCACCCAAAGAAUUGAGGACUUGCUCUCCAGAAAAGUAGAAAACCUACUUGCAGAUUUAAAAAUAACCGUUUUCUUUACCUCUGGCCAACAAUUCUUCACCCACAGAAAAAAACCCUAGGCUCAGAAAGAGUUCUAUCACUUGUUCAACAUGGCAGGCCUUUCUCCAAAUGGUAAAUGCAAAAACCUAAAAGAGGGACAGCGGUCAUUAGGCAGCAAGAUGUCAAGAGAGAAGUAAGAUAUGACCUAUUUCACUAACAUCCUUUGCUUUAUUUGAAGGACAAAAGUUUUCAUCCCCAACAUUUCCCCUUUGUGUGUAGGACUGAUUACUGGAAGUUUUAUGCUAAAGCCCACUCGUGUGCUUGCAUUAAAAUAGCGCCCCGCUUUAGUGAUUUAAUACAUUCAGAUACCAAUACGUGCAUAAGAUUUGUCAAUUUGAAACCAACAUGCUGUGUUUUGAGUGUGACACGUAGCUCCAUUGUCAAAAGAUUGCUAGCAAAAAUGGUCUUUGAGCCAUGAGAAGACAACCAGGAAAUCUGGAAGGGCAAGUCUCUCUUUUCAUCUUUAUUCUUUGGUUAACAAAUACCGCAUUGCAUGUGAGGCUGUUUAAGAUUCGCCAUCCUGUUUAAAUUUUGAGAACAGGCUUUUACAUUUGUUCUUAAAAGCCCUUCUUUCUUGGAUCGACUCCUGCUUUAGUGUGACUAGUGGUCCUGGCUCCUUGGAAAUCCUUUGAUCAUGUUCAUGUCUAAGAGGGCCUGUAAAUGAAAGGGUUUCUGAGAGGACGGUGGCUCCUCAUUAAUCCCACACGGCAUUCAUCCCGUCUCAACCAUCAGAGACAAUUCAGGGAGGGAGCCUGGCAUUAAGAGGGGAAAUGAACACACUUCUCACACUUGAUAAAGAUCUGUAUUAACUGUAUGAAAAAUGAGCCAGACACCACACUGAUGACUCUGACAACAAAGUAGCAAUAAAACAGAUGAUUAAAAAUGAAGAAGCCUGGCACUCUUUAGUAAUCGGGAGCAGAGCUCUUAACCUUUGUGGUCAUGUACAUAUUUGUCUACAGAUGUUUAAGUUGAAAGUCAUUGUUUGUGCUGUUUUUGGUAGCUCUUGGGAUUUGUCUUUUGGGGAGGCACCAAGUCUAAUUCUGUGUUUGGAGCUGGGCUCAAUGUAUCCUUAAAGUUCAAUAAAUGUUUGCAAUGACUGCAGUUAUUUAGAGGACUUUGAAGUUGAUAGAGGCGAGCAGGAUACCCAGCUACUCCCCUAGUUCCACAUUUGCCAGAUGGGAGAGGCAGUAGAAAUGGCAGCUCUGAAACAGCUUAUGGUCCUGGUCCAGUAGAUCCUCAGGGCUCUGGUAUCUCCUGCUUAUUGUCUCACUUGUUAAAGCCAAUUCCUUGCCCUCCUUCUCUGCACAUUUAUUUAUUUAUUUAUUCAUUCAUUCAUCCUGCUUUUAUUCUUUGGUUAACAAACACCAACAAACACAAACAAACAAAAACAAAUAUUUAGUGGAUAUAUUUUAGAAGUCAUGCUCUGUGUAGUGUGUUGACCAUUCAGUGAUGAAGGAAAUGGACAUACAUCUUGUGUUCAUGGAGCUUACAUUUUUCCCAGUGGAUGCAUCAGAACCAAAGGGAAUUAUUCAACCUAUGACUUGGAACUGGGGGCUAUACUGCAUAGUAUUUAAGCCUGGAUAGCACCAUAUAUAUAUAUAUGGUGUCUUUUUAGGGGCAUAGCCACAGUGUAUGGAAGUUCCCAGGCUAGGGGUUGAAUUGGAGUUGUAGCCGCAGGCCUACACCGCAGCCACAGCCGCACCAGAUCCAAGACCCAUCUGUGACAGCUCACAGAAAUGCCAGAUCCUUAACCAGGGAGCGGGGCCAGGGAUUGAACUUGCAUCCUUAUGGAUAUUAUUUGGGUUCUUAACCCACGGAGCCACAAUGGGAACUUCUGAGUAGCUCUCUCAUAUUUAGGUAUGUUCGUAGGGAGAACUUAGAAUGUAACAUAAUUACUUAUAGAUCUUUAAUUCUGGAAUAGUUAGCAGACAAUAGAUGUCAGACUUUAGGGGGUAAAAACAUUCCUUUCAGCUUGUUUUCGCCCCACAUACAGGUUCAUCAAAUACAAACGUUUUCUUUAUUAAAAGUGAGGCAGAGACUUUAUGUUGUAAUUGUUUUUUCUUUUAUGGCUAUAUUUCUUCUUCAGGUAUCCUUUUUUUAACCUGAAGUAUAGUUGAUUUAAAAUGUGUUUGUUUCAGGUGUAUAGCACAGCUGCAUAUAUAUAAUAUGUAAUAUCAUAUGCAUUAUAUGUAUAUAUUCUUCAGAUUCUUUUCUCUUAUAGGUUAUUACAAAAUAUUAUGUUAUAGUCCCUUGUGCUAAACAGUAAGUCCUUGUUGGUUAUCGUCUUUAUAUAUAAAAAAUGAGGCAGAGGAUAAUUGCGAGAUGAUUUCCCAGGCUGAUACAGUUAUAUACCAAUACUGCUGUCCCCGGCUGCCUUCAAGCUCUUGAGGAUGGAGUGGAAGGCGAAUAGAAACUCAAGAAAAUCCAGAAAUGGAGACCUCUUUACUCCCUAGAAUUCUGCCAGUUUGAGAAAAGUCAUUUAUAUCAUUACUAAAAACUCUCAUACACACACACAGUAUUACAUUAGGAAGCAAUACCUACUCCGCCCACCUGACGGCCAAAACCCAAGUGGGCAGAAAGAACUACCCUGCCUGCCUCCACCCCAAAGUUUUGAUGUCACCACUCCAACCUGUGGAAGAGCUACCUAAACAUCACCCAGCAGAGAGAACAGCAGAGGGAAACUGAUGAGAGGGUUUUCCAAAGGUCUAAGGAGAAGGAGUCCUGCCGUGUGUCUCAGACCUUCUUCGGAAGUUCCUCUUCUCCCAGGUCACCUUGUGCUCAUCCACUCGAUCCCUUAGGACACGUCACUCACUGGGCUGAGUCCUGGAGCCUUGUCCUUGAAUUCGAUCAAUUCAGAGAGGGAUCCUCCUUCUUGGGGGUAGAAGGGAAGUAUAAGAAGGAGAAGGCAGAAGCUUUGAGCUUUCUUUGGGGGCCGAUUAACUAAGUCAUCUAAGCUACCACUGGGUAAGGAAAGUUAUGAAUUUUAACAGUUUCUGAAAAGUUCUCACAUGGUCUGGUCCUGUGAUUUCAAAACUGGGGGAUACAGCCUAUUUGUGGGGUCCUGGAAUCCAUUUAGUGGGUCACAGUCUACACACUCGGACCACAUUAAAAAUAUGUGGAAAAGGAGUUCCCAUUGUGGCUCAGUGGUAGCGAACCCAACUAGUAACCAUGAGGAUAUGGUUUUGAUCCCUGGCCUCGCUCAGUGGGUUAAGGAUCCAGUAUUGCCGUGAGGUGUGGUGUAGGUCGCAGACAUAGCUUGGAUCCUGCAUUGCUGUGGCUGUGGUGUAGGCCAGCAGCUGCAGCUCCGAUUUGACCCCUAGCCUGGGAAAUUUCAUAUGCUGAAGGUGUGGCCCUAAAAAGACAACAACAACAAAAAGUGGAAAAGAUACUAAGUCAAGAUAUAAAAUAAAUUUUUCUUAUUUGGUGGGGGUCAAAAAAGUUUGAAAAUCACAGUUCUGAUCUAUGCAGGCAACUGGUAAAAGUGAUAGACAGCAAGCAAGAGCCAGAAUAGGGGAAAUAACUGGCUGGCAUUUCCUUCUCUUCUGCUCUUUCUUCUUAGGUAUAAAUGAGAGCUGGUCAGCUGUAGAACUACUUAAUUUGCCAUUGACCAAGGGAAAAAGGAACAUUUCUGAUAUUAUUUGACUGUAUAUUUUUAGCUUGGCUGUUAUCUAGAAUCAUUUCCAUUUGACUUUUUUUUUUUUUUUAAUAUCCAUAGUCCUAAAGAAAACACCCA